CAAUUUAAACAACGAAGAGUUUGAUCCUGGCUCAGGAUGAACGCUAGCGACAGGCUUAACACAUGCAAGUCGAGGGGCAGCGGGGGUAGCAAUACCCGCCGGCGACCGGCGCACGGGUGAGUAACGCGUAUGCAACUUACCUAUCAGAGGGGGAUAACCCGGCGAAAGUCGGACUAAUACCGCAUGAAGCAGGGGCCCCGCAUGGGGAUAUUUGCUAAAGAUUCAUCGCUGAUAGAUAGGCAUGCGUUCCAUUAGGCAGUUGGCGGGGUAACGGCCCACCAAACCGACGAUGGAUAGGGGUUCUGAGAGGAAGGUCCCCCACAUUGGUACUGAGACACGGACCAAACUCCUACGGGAGGCAGCAGUGAGGAAUAUUGGUCAAUGGGCGUAAGCCUGAACCAGCCAAGUCGCGUGAGGGAUGAAGGUUCUAUGGAUCGUAAACCUCUUUUAUAAGGGAAUAAAGUGCGGGACGUGUCCCGUUUUGUAUGUACCUUAUGAAUAAGGAUCGGCUAACUCCGUGCCAGCAGCCGCGGUAAUACGGAGGAUCCGAGCGUUAUCCGGAUUUAUUGGGUUUAAAGGGUGCGUAGGCGGCCUUUUAAGUCAGCGGUGAAAGUCUGUGGCUCAACCAUAGAAUUGCCGUUGAAACUGGGAGGCUUGAGUAUGUUUGAGGCAGGCGGAAUGCGUGGUGUAGCGGUGAAAUGCUUAGAUAUCACGCAGAACCCCGAUUGCGAAGGCAGCCUGCCAAGCCAUGACUGACGCUGAUGCACGAAAGCGUGGGGAUCAAACAGGAUUAGAUACCCUGGUAGUCCACGCAGUAAACGAUGAUCACUAGCUGUUUGCGAUACACUGUAAGCGGCACAGCGAAAGCGUUAAGUGAUCCACCUGGGGAGUACGCCGGCAACGGUGAAACUCAAAGGAAUUGACGGGGGCCCGCACAAGCGGAGGAACAUGUGGUUUAAUUCGAUGAUACGCGAGGAACCUUACCCGGGUUUGAACGCAUUUCGACCGCUCUGGAAACAGAGCCUCUAGCAAUAGCGAUUUGCGAGGUGCUGCAUGGUUGUCGUCAGCUCGUGCCGUGAGGUGUCGGCUUAAGUGCCAUAACGAGCGCAACCCUUGCCACUAGUUACUAACAGGUAAAGCUGAGGACUCUGGUGGGACUGCCAGCGUAAGCUGCGAGGAAGGCGGGGAUGACGUCAAAUCAGCACGGCCCUUACAUCCGGGGCGACACACGUGUUACAAUGGCGUGGACAAAGGGAAGCCACCUGGCGACAGGGAGCGAAUCCCCAAACCACGUCUCAGUUCGGAUCGGAGUCUGCAACCCGACUCCGUGAAGCUGGAUUCGCUAGUAAUCGCGCAUCAGCCAUGGCGCGGUGAAUACGUUCCCGGGCCUUGUACACACCGCCCGUCAAGCCAUGGGAGCCGGGGGUACCUGAAGUCCGUAACCGCGAGGAUCGGCCUAGGGUAAAACUGGUGACUGGGGCUAAGUCGUAACAAGGUAGCCGUACCGGAAGGUGCGGCUGGAACACCUCCUUUCU
Molecule: ribosomal RNA, 1535 nt
Filed under: Parabacteroides distasonis
Lineage: Bacteria; Pseudomonadati; Bacteroidota; Bacteroidia; Bacteroidales; Tannerellaceae
Description: bacterial SSU rRNA
Rfam family: Bacterial small subunit ribosomal RNA
Source: RNAcentral